GAUGCGAACGACUAUCGAUACAAAAAGCAUUGAAGCGUUCUAACCGAACUGAUAAGUACUUUGAAAUGGAGAGACGUCGUUUAUAGCUAUUGAAAUAGCACGUUAACUUGUUUUACUCUCUAAGGUUCAGAGAAGAGUAAGUGGCAGGCCUACAAUUAAACAAAUUUGUGCUAAAUAUUUUUUGCCCUCGAUUCGUAAGGUCAUGGAGUGGUCACGAAAUCGAUUUCAAUGUCAGAGAGCAAAAAUACAUAAACGAAACUCGAUAUUGGCUACCAAAAUCACUGUUCCUGAUAGCAGAUUUUUAUUGCCUGACGAUGAUCGACCGGUUUUCUCACUGACUGGAGGCUUUACCUCUACAGGAUAUGACAGCACAGCCGGUCUGCGAUGCAAUUGGGAAGUGAUGCCAAUUUAUUGGGAAGUGAACAAAUCUACACGACACCAUACCACCCACUUUUACUUUCAACUGUAAUGCUUGGCCUCCGAACGUGUUUCAAGGAAGAUCUUCAAGCAUCAAUUGCCGAUAUGUUGUACGGGUGCCUCCCCAACGAAUAUUUCUAUGACCUGGACGCGCCCUUAAUCCAUGUCAGUUUGUCAGUCAGUUUCGUACCAACAUGCAGUCGGUAAAGCCGACGCCAGCUUUGCAUCAUAGCAAGGCUAAUGUGCAGGUCUCACUGUGCAUGAUUGCGACAAGAGCGCUGCAAUUGCCAAGAAAAGCUGCGGCCUCCAGCAUGUUAUAUUUUGUGAGAAAUCAAUUCUUAAAACUAAAUACCGCGGCUCGAGUUUUGAGUGACUUGACAAAUACAAAUUCGAGUCUCUAAGAAAUCGCCGGUUAGAGCCUCAAUUUUUGCAGUUCCCUCUCCGUCUGUCAAGACACCGACGCCUCUUUUGUCCCUGCCUAGCAACUUGGAUUUAUCUUCGAUGUUGUCAUUAUCGCCUUCGCCGAGCGACUGUCCAGUUAUUAUCCCUGUUUUAUCCCCUGUUGUAGUCCCUUUAGACCCCGUACCUGAACCUGUCCCAGCUACCCAUACUGCCUCAGCCCCGUCAGGUCCUGGCCGUAAAGGUAGAUCUGCGCGCAACCUAGCCCAGAUUGUUAAAAAAAUUCUUGACGACUCUUUGGCCCCACUAAAUUCUGUUUUACCUGCAGCCCCAUCAGCUCCUACUUUAACCGUUGUUGCCCCUCAUAGGCAAGUUUUUGUCUCUCGACUUUCGUCUGACACCACUUGUGAGUCAUUGGCAGCCUAUAUUGCUAGCAAGUCUUCUGCCAAAAGUCAGUCAAAAAAUGUUUCACAUGAUAUAUUAGUGUGUAUAUGCUUUAAAAGAACACCCUAUAUACAAAUAUAAAGUAUG
Drosophila virilis is the source of this 1347-nucleotide long non-coding RNA. RefSeq lists it as uncharacterized. Lineage: Eukaryota; Metazoa; Arthropoda; Insecta; Diptera; Drosophilidae. The record is from RefSeq and is a predicted model, not a curated record.